RNAcentral lists this long non-coding RNA (290 nucleotides) under Setaria italica (foxtail millet). Its description in RNAcentral is "long non-coding RNA (SITA_LNC006157)". Lineage: Eukaryota; Viridiplantae; Streptophyta; Magnoliopsida; Poales; Poaceae. The record is from RNAcentral.
UAAAGAAGCCAUCGUCACUCGUUCAGGAUCUGGAUAGGGUUUUCACCCAGAGAGACCCGUGCGACAAGGUUGUAGCUCCAAGAUGACGCCACUUGGGAAACGACGCCCAGGGGUGCCGCCGUCAUUUCUAAAGGGCUUUCGCCCGGAGCAUGAACUCCUCGCUACAUGCUCACUACUUGGCACUCACGGACCACAGCCCCGGAACCAGAGUGGUGGCGCCACCACACCUCCAUGCACCAUGCCGCCGCCAGUCUCCGCCUCUGCUACGCUUGCCGCCCAGGAGCCAACUG